GAGAGAGAGAGAGAGAGAGAGAGAGAAUCCCAAGCAGCCUCUGCACUGUCAGCACAGCUUGAUGAAGGGCUCCAACACAUGAACCUUGAGAUCAUGAUCUCAGUUGCAACCAAGAGUUGGACACUUAAGCGAGUGAGCUGGUGCCCCAGUGUAAAUAUUUAUUAAUAGGAGACUGAUGAGGUAAUAUGCAAUGUCGAGGCAAUGGAACAUUAUAUAGCUUUAUAUCCUUGUUUUUUUUUUUUUUUUUAAUGUUCAUUCAUUUUUGAGAGCAAGGGUGGGACAGAGGAUCCGAAGAAGGCUCUGAGCUGAGAGCAGCUAUCCCGGUGUGGGGCUUGAACUCAUGAACUGUGAGAUCAUGACUUGAGCCGAAGUCAUCCGGAUGCUCAACCGGCUGAGCCACCCAGGUGCCCUUUAUGUAGCUUUUAAAAGGAUCUUUCUCUAGUGAUAUUGUGGGACUAUAUUUAUAGCAAUCAAAUAAAACAGGGUGCAAAGCAGUGUGGAUAAGAGGCUCUAAUUUAUACUAAAAUUACAUACACAUAUUUAUAUAUGUAUUACUUUCUGAAAGAAUUUCAAAAUAAAUUCCUUAUUUUUAUUUUAAAAAUAAAUGUAAGAUAAACUGGCAACUAGUUGCCUCUGGUGAAUGCACCUGGGUAUCUGGAGUCUUUUAUUUUUGGUAUGGCCUUUUGAAUUUAAUGCCACAUGUAUGUUUUACCUAUCCAAAAACAUAUUUAAAUGUAAAUCUGUAUAUACAAUAGGAUAACAAUAAAAAGUAUGUCUAAAUACAUGAAUAAAAAGACAUGAGGAUAAAUAAUCUCAAAAUGUUAGCAGGGAUUUUCCUUUGAUGCUGGAUUUACUGUUGAUUUUUAUUUUCUUCUUGUAGUUUCUGUAUUUACCCAAUACACAUGGAUUGUUUUUAUAGAUAACAAUAUGUUGUUAAAAACCUACUCAUUUCAAUUUUUUUUUUGCAACUAUAAAUUGUUAAAACUGAAUUGGCUUUAUGUAGACUUAUGCUCCUAGUAUGCUAAAUUAGUUUUCUAAACUGAUGUAACAUAAGUCCAAAAAUGCACAAAGUUAGCUCAAGAGACUGUUUAUAUGUUGGAGAUAUAUGACCAUAACCUCUUUUUUUGUCUUACUGCAUAUCUCAACUUUCUGAAUUUCCUCUUCACAACGAAUAACACAUCCAGCGUUAGUUUUGACGUCUUCAGUGGGAUCUCUACGUGGCUCAGCUCCCCAAGGAGAGAUCCCCUUUGAGAAUCUUCAGAUCCUGGGAACGAGGGUCAAAAGUGUGUAGACAGAGACGCCAGGCCUUUAGAGAACUUCCGCCAACUUGGGGUGCCUUUUCACGUGUUCCGCAGUGUUCUCUUCCUGCCUUUACUCAAACUCCAGUUCGUGUCUUUCCAGUGCAUCUGGCUGGAGUGUAAAAGCACCAAAGCUAAUCACCUAACCACAGUCUUUGAAUUGAAGCGGUACCUCUGCUUCCUAAACAGUGGAACUGUAGCUGUCUGUCUGUGCUUCUCUUCACGUACCUCAGACUGGGCAUCUGGCAGUGACAGGAUGGCCAGAUACCUCUUCUACUUCCAGCCUCAUGCCUGCAUUCCUGGCAGGAAUAAGAAGGGGACAGAAUGAAGCCCACGUGUAUCAGGAAAGCAACCAUUUCCCAGAAAUCUCUGGCAGACUUUUCGAUUAUUUUUCAUCGGCUCUGAAUUCCGUACUUCCCUUUAGAUGUAAGGAAUUUUGGGAAGGUGGCACAUGGUGUCCCUGAAAAGAACGAUUUUUCUUUUAGUAAAGGAUGGGCAGUGACUGGGUAUCCGGCAGUGUCCAUCCAGCAGAGGUUUUUGUUUUAUUUUGUUUUUGCAAAAAUACAACCGGCCAUCUUAAGGGCAUCCCAGGCCAAGAUGCAGGCACCCCUUGAAUUCCUGGGAUUGUGCCAGAACUGGCCAAUGAGGAGCUUGUAUUCUGUAACUUAAGUUUGAAUGGACAAUGGAACAUGCACCUGCGCAGAGGAGAUAUGUGAAAAAGCAUGCUUUCACGUUGACCUGUAGCUGGUGAGCAGUGGGCGGAGCACCGUUAGCGUGGCUCUACACGCCAUGCCCGGGACCUGAGUUGGGCUGGGUGUGGUGGUGGUGACGGUGAUGGUGAGGGCAGCCACAGCAGCAGCAGCAGGGGCAGCAGUAGUCACAGCCCUGGAGAGAGGAGGGACCCCAGUGCCAGGAUCCAUGGCAGGAGGCCAGUUUGCCAGUGUGUCUCUGGAGCCCAUCUCUGGGGCAUUGGCACAGAUCUUAACGCUUUGGCCAGGAACUCUUAGAGCUCAGGUGGCAAAACUUUGUCAGCAAAAUUAUUACAGAAUGAAAACGUACACAUGGACAUUUCAACAAAACCUGUUAAGGAGGAAUUAGAAUUCUUCAUAGUUUAAAACCUCUGUUUUCGCUAAUUGCUGCAGCACCGUAAAACAAAUAUCCAUAAACUUAGAAACAGAAAUUAAAUGUAACGAUGAUCACACUUCAUGAAAUAGAACGCUAUUUUCCUAUGAAGCAUCAGAUGAAACCGUUUUAAUGAAGAUAAUUUUGAAAUUAGUUUUCCUUUGUAAUUGAAUAUACAGUGAUAGAAUGCGUAAACAAGUAUUUGAAUUAUAUAUAAAUCAUGAAGUCCAUUUCUUGUAUAACCUCCACAAAUUACAGGAAAUAUAAGAGGAAAUGUUAAAAUGCCAUGGUAUAAGUUUACAUUUAAAAUUAAAUUUAGACUGACAUGAAAAUGAUCUGUAUGAAGACAAGUUUUUUCAGAAAAAUUGUUCUGCAAGAAUCAUCAGCUUUAGAUGUACUAAUAUUUAUAUAUAUAUUUCUAAUAUUUAUAUUUUAAUAUAAUUAAUUGGAAAUUUAUCCCAAUGUUUUCAUAGCCUAUAAAAUACUCUUUUAUGUAAAGUUUAUUUAUUUAUUUUGAGAGAGAAAGAGAGAGAGUGAGAAUGGGGGAGAGGCUGAGAGAGAGAGAGAGAGAGAGAGAGAGAGAGAACUUCAAGCAGGCUCCAGGUUCAGCAAGGAGCCUGACAGGGGGCUCAAUCCCAAGACUGUGAAAUCAUGACCUGAGCAGAAAUCAAGAGUCUAAUGUUUAACUGACUGAGGCACCCAGGCGCCCCACCUAUAAGAUACUCUUAACAGCUUCAGUAACUGUGGCAUCAGCAGACAAAUCCUCCUAAAUAUUAAAAAUCAUCAAAAAUUGUUUGCAAUCUUGAAUUUUCCAAGAGCAACUCACAUUGCUUUCAAUAACAUAGAUUGAAAAUGAAGUUGUGGGGCGCCUGGGUGGCUCAGUCGGUUAAGCGGCCGACUUCGGCUCAGGUCAUGAUCUCGCGGUCUGUGAGUUUGAGCCCCGCGUCGGGCUCUGUGCUGACAGCUCAGAGCCUGGAGCCUGUUUCAGAUUCUGUGUCUCCCUCUCUCUCUGCUCCUCCCCUGUUCAUGCUCUGUCUCUCUCUGUCUCAAAAAUAAAUAAACGUUAAAAAAAAAUUAAAAAAAAAAGAAAAUGAAGUUGCUAAAAGUAAAAAUGUUGAUGAUUUAAUAAAUAUAUUUGCAGAAAUGAGCCAGAAGAGUCUUACAAUCAAUCAAGCUAUCACACUAAUGAAGCCUUAUUUAUUAUAUUAUAAAGAUUAUGACACCAAAGAUAUUUUCUUCAGUUUGUAAGUUUAUACUGUUACCUAUAUAUCACAAUUACCCCUACUUAUGGACUGAAUUGUAUCCCCCUGCCAAAUCCAUAUGUUGAAGUCCUAACCUUCUAUGUGACUCUAUUUGGAGACAGGGCCAUUAAAGAGGUAAUUAAGGUUAAGUAGGGUGAUGAGGGCUGGGCUCUAAUCCUGUAGGACUAGUAUCCUUAUGAGAAGACACUAGACAUCUCUCUCACUCUGUGUGUGUGUGGGUGUGCAUGUGCGUGUGUGCAUGCAGAAGAAAGGUUAUGUGAGACAUGGCAAGAAGGCAGCUGUGUGCCAGCCAGGAAGAGGUAUCUUAUCAGAAACCCUGACAGCACCUUGAUCAUACUUAAGACUUCUAGCCUCCAGAGCUGUGAGAAAAUAAAUUUCUGUUGCAUAAGCAACCCAGUCUGUAGAGUUCUGUUAAGGCAGCCUGAGAUAAUAUACCCGUAUACAUUUUAUAAAUAAUAAAAUAUUUUAAAGGAAAAGCCUUCAUAUUUUAGUACCUUUAAUGGCAUUUUCCCCUUGCUUUCGAACAAAGGGCUCCACAUUUUCAUUUUGCACUGGGUUCUGAAUUAUACAGCUGGCUUUUCUCUGAGUUGAAGUCACACUUUGUGCAUCUCCUAAGGGUUUCAAAAUGGUUCUUCUCUCUGCUUCCUCUCUCCCCACAUCAGCUUCUCCUGGUCGCAUAUAGCCCAACAAGGCCAUUUUCAUCCUGACUAUAUGACCUUUUGUCAAGUGUUCAACAGUAACCCAUUAAUUCUGCCUCAGAGCCCUGACUCUCCAUUUCUGAGGGAAAGAAUAUAAUUGGCUUAGCCCAACUUAUGGAUUGUUUGGUCUUGUAUUGGAUGUCCAUCUGUUCCAACUGGCUGGGGCCACGCACACGUACCUGGCUGGCCUGGCCUACAUUUGCAGGGUCUAGGUGGCCGGCAAUUUCAAAGAAGUGCUGUGGGCUGGGCUUGUGUUCUCAAUUGAGGCAAUUAAAAUGCUUACAUGGAGGAUAACCUGGCCUCACUUCCAUGGUUAACUUAUUUUUCCAAGGGUGUUCAGAAUCUCCACUCCUAAAUAUAACCAACCACAGUUUAUAAAGGAAAAGCAGAAACCAGUACUGUGUUCUGAGAAGUAUUUCAGGGUUGUGUGGCUCAGCUCUCAUUGACAAAAAAAACACAUUAAGAGUAGGAUUAGAUAGAGGGGCACCUGGGUGGCUCCACUGGUUAAGCAUCUGCCUUGCACUCAGGUCAUGAUCUCCCAGUUUGUGAGUUUGAGCCCCAUGUUAGGCUCUGGGCUGACAACUCAGAGCCUGGAGCCUGCUUCAGAGUCUGUGUCUCCCUCUCUCUCUGCCCCUCCCCUGCUCAUGUUCUCCCUAGAUAAAUAAACAUUAAAAAAAAAAAACAAAUUAAAAAAAAAAGAAUAGA
Acinonyx jubatus (cheetah) is the source of this 5085-nucleotide long non-coding RNA. RefSeq lists it as uncharacterized. The transcript has 3 exons. The record is from RefSeq and is a predicted model, not a curated record. Lineage: Eukaryota; Metazoa; Chordata; Mammalia; Carnivora; Felidae.